GGAAGUGUGGGACUGAUGACCUCCCACAACUGGAGCAGCCGGGAACAGCUCUGACCACAGUAAGUCAUCCCAAAACCUCACAUUCAGAUGAAACCAUUUAAGAAUUUCAUCUGCACUGAGGAACAAUUUAGCGUGAUACUGGAGGGAAAGAGUUUCCCUGUGAGAUCCAGGAGGUCCCUUUAGCUCGUCUCCUGACGUCACCACAGUCAUACCCAAGAGGAAGGAAACGUCAGAGACAAUGAUUUGGAGAACAUUCUACACAAAAACCAAGUAUAAAACAAUGACGAUUUCAUGACGGCUCAUUGUUCUUUGGUAUUGUGCCUUACGUGAGCUGGGGACUAACUCUGUAUCCUUAAGGAGGCAUCACUUGAUUAGAGUUGCCCAAAAGAAUGUGGGUUAUUAUCCUAAAGGUCUGUGUUGCCAUCCUGAAACAGUCAGAAAUGAGUUUUUAUUUCACUUAGGUGGUUCCGGGGAGAAGCCUUUCCAGGACCCAUGUGUAGGCACAGCUGUUUUCCCUGAUCAGGAUACUUGCAGCACUCAACAGAGGAAAGAAAUUCCUAAGGGAACACUGCUCAGAAAGUACUGCAGCAUGUCUUCAAAUGCCUGAGGAUCAAGCUGGAAAACUAGAAGCAACAGAAAACACAAUAAGGUAACUGAUUUCACCUGGGGAAAAGUCACUUCCUGUUUUGUUUUUUUUAAAAGAGACAAGGUCUUGCCAUGUUGC
This 724-nucleotide small RNA is filed under the name Pan troglodytes (chimpanzee). Its description in RNAcentral is "retained intron". The record is from RNAcentral. Lineage: Eukaryota; Metazoa; Chordata; Mammalia; Primates; Hominidae.